This 67-nucleotide transfer RNA is filed under the name Marmota monax (woodchuck). RNAcentral describes it as "tRNA.Ala". Lineage: Eukaryota; Metazoa; Chordata; Mammalia; Rodentia; Sciuridae. The record is from RNAcentral.
GGAAUGUAGCUUGGUGGUAGCGCCCUUGCCUAGCAUGCCAAGUCCCUGGGUUCGAUUCCCAGCACCG